UACAGAGGUCUCGAGCGUUGUUCGGAUUCAUUGGGCGUAAAGGGUGUGUAGGUGGCGCCGUAAGUCGGGUGUGAAAUUUCGGAGCUUAACUCCGAAACUGCAUUCGAUACUGCGGUGCUUGAGGACUGGAGAGGAGACUGGAAUUCAUGGUGUAGCAGUGAAAUGCGUAGAGAUCAUGAGGAAGACCAGUGGCGAAGACGGGUCUCUGGACAGUUCCUGACACUGAGACACGAAGGCCAGGGGAGCAAACGGG
Molecule: ribosomal RNA, 253 nt
Filed under: uncultured bacterium
Lineage: Bacteria
Description: partial 16S ribosomal RNA
Rfam family: Bacterial small subunit ribosomal RNA
Source: RNAcentral